UGAGGCAGGAGAAUUGCUUGAACCCAGGAGGUGGAGGUUGCAGUGAGCCUAGAUAGUGCCACUGUACUCCAGCCUGGGUGACAGAGCGAGACUCCA
Molecule: microRNA precursor, 96 nt
Organism: Aotus nancymaae (Ma's night monkey)
Lineage: Eukaryota; Metazoa; Chordata; Mammalia; Primates; Aotidae
Source: Ensembl